AAACGUUUGAAGUCAGACGUGCGUUGUGCGAUUCAGCUCCGGUUCGCCGGAGUGUAUUUCGUACUAUUGCAGGCCAGCAUCGGUUUGGCGAGCCGGAUAAAGGUUAGAGAAAGGUAGCGGUCCAGGCCGUGUUAUAGUCUCUAACUGAAUACGGAUUGCUAGACCGAGGGACGCAGCGCGCCGCAAGGCAAAGCUUUCGGGCUUUUCGCGCUUAGGAUGCUGGUGAAAUGGCUUUAAA
RNAcentral lists this ribosomal RNA (238 nucleotides) under Cystobasidiomycetes sp. RNAcentral's name for it is "partial large subunit ribosomal RNA". Lineage: Eukaryota; Fungi; Basidiomycota; Cystobasidiomycetes. The record is from RNAcentral.